This is a long non-coding RNA of Megalobrama amblycephala (Wuchang bream), 2667 nucleotides long. RefSeq lists it as uncharacterized. Lineage: Eukaryota; Metazoa; Chordata; Actinopteri; Cypriniformes; Xenocyprididae. The record is from RefSeq and is a predicted model, not a curated record. The transcript is spliced from 3 exons.
AUUUUCUUCAACCAGCACACGCUCAGCACAGGCCUGUCACCAUCCCGGUGACCUGCGGCAGGGGAACAGUGACCUUUGACCUUAUAUCGCUGUUAAUUCCCAGCUGCAGCGGCAUAAACGCUCGUUCCUACAACCGACAGGUUAUCUAUCAGCGACAGAACACAUUAAAGGCACGGGAUCAGUUAAAAGCACCCAGCGUGCGGACACACACGCAGCAGGUGAGCAGCCAGCUGUCAUAUCCUCACGCCUAGUCCAGGGAACAUCGCUCUGACAUUUCAGGAGCGGCAGAGACAGCCGAGCGGAGCUGUGUGAAAUGGCGGCGAGCUCCUCCGGUGUGAAACCCUCGGAGGGCCGUGGAGGAGAGAGAUCUUCGGGCGCCCCUCACCGGUUCACUGGCACCUGCUCUUUGCCUGUUCACGUUUGUUUACAAAACGUAAACACGGUAGCAUUAGCAUUACGCCGUUUCAUUGGUUUAAUGGCAGCUAAAAAUAAUCCUGGACUGAUUACAAAUCAUUCUCCAAAAAAAGAUUUUCUACUUUAACACAAUUUACAGCCGUUCAAUCACUCUUUGUUUGUUUAUGAGAUUUUGAAGUGUUUACAGGCAGAGACUAAUGACUAAAAGUCAGGCUGUAAACACGCUCUUAAUAAAACUAGCCCUGUGUAGCAGUGAGUAAUCACGGCUGAUCCUGCCAGUUUGCUAGUGCGAGAGUGUGUGUUUGUGAUCGUGUGUGUGUGUGUGUGUGUGUGUGUACUUUGCCCGUGUGGGAAAUGAUUAACAUCCAGUGACUCACAGCCCCCAACAAUAACACGUAAGAGGUAAGACAACACACACAAGUGAGGUAAACGCACAAACACGCUAAAUCUAGGCCGUGCAACACACUGCCCGCAUGCACCUCAUCCUCCUGCGAGAGCUAAAAACCACAGCGCAGGAUGACAUGAAAGCUGUUUCUGCUCAAAUAUAAGAGAGUUAACAAGCGAAGGUCUGCAUCUGAACAAACUCGAGCGGAAAUCCGACCGUCUAUGUCUCUCUUGGGAGAGUGAUUGUCCUUAGGGAACUCUUGCUCAAACAGCGGACUGUGCGACUCGGUUGUGAAGUUUAUCGAGUUUAUUUCGUUACAAAACAACCGACUGAGGGAGUGACACUUCAACCGGUAACCUUUAACCUACAUGCAUGUCCGUCAAAUCAGAUUCAGCCAUUUCUGAAUAACAGGAUCACUCUUUUCUUGUACUUUAGUCGUGUUUAUUAGCCGUUGCUAACACACAUGGGAACAUUUUUAAGGCUCAGCUUCCUCUUCUGUGGGCUUUUAAGACCCUCGUCACGUGGCUUGGGGCAAACUACAGAAGCACUGGUACUCCUGACAUCCCUAAGGUGAACAACAAACACAUUUUACUACGCUACUUUUCCAUUGUUUGUCUAUGUAAGCACUUGCUACAUGAGCAUCUUUGACCAUUGCUCUCGCAUCUUUUUUUUAUUAUUAUUCAACUGCUUGCGUCUCACAUUUUUAGAUGAAAAUGUGAAAAUGGCCCCUAAAGGUGCAACAGGUUCAGGAAAUGCAAGCUGAUAAAUGCUUAUGCGCACGUAAGCAUUUAUCAGCUUGCAUUUCCUGAACCUGUUGCACCUUUAUGGGCCAUUUUCACAUUUUUCACAGCUAGGCCAUGGCUCUGACAAUGUUUCUCUCUUUCAAAGAAUCACUCAAAUCGCCUUUAGAGCCAAAUACAAACCGGCAGGGAAAAUCAGGCCGAGGUCAAUAUAAUCUAAAAAUGAUUUUACACUGAGCUUUAUCUGAAGGGAGAAACAGUGAGAGACAGACAAUUCAAAAGAAUCAGACAGAGUUCCCUCUGAUUACUCCUCAUCUCUCCUUCUAUAUACUCUUUCCCUUUGUCCUCCCCCUCUCAUCUGAUCAUUUCAUCCAAUCAAGGUCCCUCACAGCUGCCACACACAGAUGUGGACGCUGAACCCAAUUCAAGCUUGAGAGAGAAAGAGAGAAAACGAGUGAAUAAACCUUGAAGCAGCUGUGUGUGACAAUGGAAACAACAAAUAAAAUGCUCACACGCUCUUUAAAAAUCACAUCGGUCGCUCCUCACACACAUACAGUGUUCACAUUGUGUCCAUCUACACAGUUUUGAUAAGCUCCUCUCUGUGAGAUAGCAAGACACUUAGAAUUCAGUUUGAGGAGUAACAGACAUUCUCUGCUGUGGACUGCACCGCAAACACUUACUAUUGGCCUGUUUUAUCUGUUUCCAAAUGAAUGAAUCCAAUCUAAACUGAAUCCUGCCCCAAACAAAUCCUGCUCACAAUCAACCCUUGGCGAUGUGAGGUGACUAUGAGGAGCUCUAAACCCUGGCCUUGUCAAACAAACAACCAGCCAUAUUAGGAGUGGCUUUCUUAUGUGCUCAACAUAUGACACAAUGCAACCAUUUAACAUACGUUCAAAGCAACUAAAGGCGCUUUCACAUGACGAGCAUCAGGACAUCCAUCCACUCUGCCCUCCUCAUGAAAAGUGUAGCCUUGCUGAUAAUGUUCCAGUUUAAAUCCAUAUUAAAAGACGCAUCUCUUUAGCCAAGCAUUCACAUAAUGCAUCUCAUAUCAGAUCAAUUGCACACGACAUCUUUGCUUAACGUUAUGAACAGCAGCUAUGCUAAUUAUUCUCCAUUUGCUUUUCUGUU